Molecule: non-coding RNA, 91 nt
Filed under: Microbacterium sp.
Lineage: Bacteria; Bacillati; Actinomycetota; Actinomycetes; Micrococcales; Microbacteriaceae
Description: TPP sequence
Rfam family: TPP riboswitch aptamer (THI element)
About the family: Vitamin B(1) in its active form thiamin pyrophosphate (TPP) is an essential coenzyme that is synthesised by coupling of pyrimidine and thiazole moieties in bacteria. The previously detected thiamin-regulatory element, thi box was extended, resulting in a new, highly conserved RNA secondary structure, the THI element, which is widely distributed in eubacteria and also occurs in some archaea.
Source: RNAcentral
ACAAGUGACACGGGGUGCCCACAGGGCUGAGAUCACACCCGUCGAACCUGAUCUAGCUCGUACUAGCGAAGGGAUGUCGCGCAUGAUGCGC